AGUGUCUAUGGCUCCCACCAGUGAUGCUGAGAACUCCAGGUUAAAGCCAUUCCCCCUUAUCCUUUUCUUCAGGCAGCGCUGGGCACGUCCAACUGCUGGCUUUUCUCCUGCCGCUACCUGUUGCUCUGAAUGGAUUCGGUGAAAGGAAGCUUUGGGAUGGCAACACUGAAAUUCUAAGCCCUGCAAGAAGAGGCGACGUCACAGACAUUUGUGAGCAGCUGUGUUCAAGGGUGAAGCACAGGAAGAGUAACGUUUCAUCCAACAUCACUGAUGAACACCAUCAGACCUCACUGAGAGCUGCAGCCACUGCCGCCGAACCACACUGAUGUGUUAGCAAGGUCAAAUAUCCCACUGGUUUGAUGGCUUUGUUGCUCUCUUUUUUCUACUCUUAUAAUAAAAUAUUAAAAAUUA
Gallus gallus (chicken) is the source of this 411-nucleotide long non-coding RNA. The record is from Ensembl. NCBI's taxonomy places the organism in Eukaryota, Metazoa, Chordata, Aves, Galliformes, Phasianidae.